CUAGAGAAUUGCUCCUGAUCACUUUUAAACUGCUGACACUCUUGAAUGCUAUUUUCCAAUUCAGAUAUACUGAGUUCACUAUCGCUUACAUUUUAGGUCAAGAAAGCUGAUAGUAGAAUGAUAUUUUAAGCUCUUUGCAGAUGAACCACUGCACAGAAGCUAUUACAAGUAAAAUAUCUUACUACAGUGGGUCUUUUUAGCUCCAGAGUGUUCUCUUAGGAACUUGCCUUUUUUUCUCUGGAGUAAAAAUCUGCCAAGCGCUUUCUAUUCAAACCAAUCCGAGAAGGUUAAACAGAACUCUAGAUAUGCCUGAUUUAACUCUUUAAAGUCUCAGUGUUUUGAAAAGACCGAACUGAUGCAAGAAAUAUAAUGAGCAGUAGAGCGAAGAAAGAAAAAAAAUUCUGUUAAAGCAUGUGUCAGCUUUUAGACAGCCCUAAUGAGUUCAGCACGGUCCUUAUUUAUCAGGCAAAUAUCCCAGCCCUAGAAGAAGCCAUGGGGGAUUAGACCCUUCACCUGCUCUGUGGAAAACAAAUUUGGACUGGGCUCACUGGAGCGAAUUUAUCAAACUGAUCAUAUUUUGGGCUGAUAAGAAGCAGUGGUCUUCCCAUGUGGAGGUUCAGCAGGUUAGCGGAAGUCUUUAAUCACUGAUUAUUAUGCCAUCCAACCUCAAUCUCUUCAGGCUGCCCUACAUAAUUGGGGUACAGCAAUUGAGCUAUCCUCUGGCCCUUCCCGUGCCAUUAGUGUAAUGUGAUCCUGGAGGGAAGACGCUGUGGCCGGCGACUCUACUUCCCCCGAUUAUGGAGCUUCACAGGAUCCAGGCGAAAGGGGGCCAGGGUGGAUUUCAGCUGAUAACCAUGCAUUACUGUUGGAAAUCUGCCAUUUGGUUUGGGUUGGACAUUUUCAACCAAGAACAGAGCCUGACAGGACCUCGUAUGUGGUGGUUAAGGCUAAAUAAUCCAUUACCUCGAGGUACAGGCUGGUGACAGCUUCCAGAUGAAAGAAGAGUUCUCCAGGAAAUGCAGGGGUAAUGUAGUUGGGACUUGGGAAAAAGGUUUGUCUUUUGUCUACAAAGGCUGAUUUGGUUGCAUUUAAAGUUGAAAGUUGAUGUAGCAGUGUCUUCUGCUAUUUUUCUCUGUUUUUAAUCCACUAACAAGCUCCAGAUCCAUAAGCUCUUUCUGUAGACAGCAUUCGUGCACACUAUAGAAACAAAAUCUGCUUUGGAUGAAGUUUUGUGUUUUCAUAUAUAAGCUAGGGAGCCUUUGAAUAAUUUAUAUAAAAAACAGCUCUACUAGAAUAACUCAAGGGAAUCAAACACAUGAGGAAGAACCCGAUAGAUUGGUUGAUUCACUUUAUGGCAGUGCCUUGCAUAAUCGAA
This is a long non-coding RNA of Carassius gibelio (silver crucian carp), 1375 nucleotides long. RefSeq lists it as uncharacterized. NCBI's taxonomy places the organism in Eukaryota, Metazoa, Chordata, Actinopteri, Cypriniformes, Cyprinidae. The record is from RefSeq and is a predicted model, not a curated record. The transcript is spliced from 3 exons.